Molecule: ribosomal RNA, 517 nt
Filed under: Theloderma corticale (Tonkin bug-eyed frog)
Lineage: Eukaryota; Metazoa; Chordata; Amphibia; Anura; Rhacophoridae
Description: partial large subunit ribosomal RNA
Rfam family: Bacterial large subunit ribosomal RNA
Source: RNAcentral
AGCCUGCCCAGUGACAAGUUCAACGGCCGCGGUACCCUAACCGUGCAAAGGUAGCAUAAUCACCUGUUCUUUAAAUGAGGACUCGUAUCAACGGCACCACGAGGGUUGCACUGUCUCCCCCCUCUAAUCAGUGAAACUGAUCUCCCCGUGAAGAAGCGGGGGUACAACUAUAAGACGAGAAGACCCCAUGGAGCUUAAAACCCAACGGCAACUCAACCCCACGCACUUCCCCGCACCAAGAGAGCAUGCCUAACGGUUUUAGGUUGGGGCGACCACGGAGUAAAAACCAACCUCCAUGACGAAAAGAACUAAAUCUUUAUCCCAGAGCCACCCCUCCAAGAAUUAGAACACUAACGGACAAUGACCCGACUAUCGACCAACGAACCAAGUUACCCUGGGGAUAACAGCGCAAUCUACUUCAAGAGCCCCUAUCGACAAGUAGGCUUACGACCUCGAUGUUGGAUCAGGGUACCCCAGAGGUGCAGCCGCUUCUAGUGGUUCGUUUGUUCAACGAUUA